UGGGGAAUUUUGGACAAUGGGCGCAAGCCUGAUCCAGCCAUGCCGCGUGCGGGAAGAAGGCCUUCGGGUUGUAAACCGCUUUUGUCAGGGAAGAAAUCUUCUGAGUUAAUACCUCGGGAGGAUGACGGUACCUGAAGAAUAAGCACCGGCUAACUACGUGCCAGCAGCCGCGGUAAUACGUAGGGUGCAAGCGUUAAUCGGAAUACUGGGCGUAAAGCGUGCGCAGGCGGUUUUGUAAGACAGAGGUGAAAUCCCCGGGCUCAACCUGGGAACUGCCUUUGUGACUGCAAGGCUUGAGUGCGGCAGAGGGGGGAUGGAAUUCCGCGUGUAGCAGUGAAAUGCGUAGAUAUGCGGAGGAACACCGAUGGCGAAGGCAAUCCCCUGGGCCUGCACUGACGCUCAUGCACGAAAGCGUGGGGAGCAAACAGGAUUAGAUACCCUGGUAGUCCACGCCCUAAACGAUGUCAACUGGUUGUUGGGAAGGUUCCUUCUCAGUAACGUAGCUAACGCGUGAAGUUGACCGCCUGGGGAGUACGGCCGCAAGGUUGAAAC
RNAcentral lists this ribosomal RNA (552 nucleotides) under uncultured bacterium. RNAcentral describes it as "partial 16S ribosomal RNA". It matches the Rfam family "Bacterial small subunit ribosomal RNA", at positions 355 to 900 of the family's 1533-position model. The record is from RNAcentral.